AACUGGCUGAUGGUGGGGUGCAGAGCAUAUUUCUGUGGGUGACCUGCUGCUCUCCCCUCCUGCCGGCAGGACUGGAAUAAACGCUCCUGCAUGAUUCAACCCCAUCUCUGCUGAAUUGGCUCAAGUAGUGACAGGCAGCCCGGACCCACUGGUUGUUCGGUUACAAAAGGAUAAUAAAACCUGGGAGUUUUCUUGGAGAUAGUCUCCACAUAAUCGUCUUCACCAUGUCUCAGAUUUACUCCAGCCUGGCUGGGGCACAGGUGACAAGAAUUAAAGGUACAAACAGCUUAGAAAUCUAGAAUUCUCAGCCCUGGCCACUGCUCAGGUUUCUUCAGAACUUCCCUGUGAGUAUCCUGGGCUCCCACUGCCAUUGGUUAAGCCUGACAGGGGAGCCCUAGCUUCUGCCCCCCCACGACCCCUCACGCUCUCUGGCUUAUGCCUACCCUUCCUGGGUCAGGACUGCCCCACACCAGGCCUGGGAUUCACUCCUUCAUUCAAAUAUUACUCCCUGGCAGGCAAUUGUUAAACCAAAAAUACAUUUCUCAAGUUAUGAGGAUGGAUCAAAGUUUUAUUUUAAAUUUACAG
This is a long non-coding RNA of Myotis brandtii (Brandt's bat), 585 nucleotides long. RefSeq lists it as uncharacterized. Lineage: Eukaryota; Metazoa; Chordata; Mammalia; Chiroptera; Vespertilionidae. The record is from RefSeq and is a predicted model, not a curated record. The transcript is spliced from 2 exons.